CCCUUAGAUGUUCUGGGCUGCACGCGCGCUACACUGACGCACGCAACAGGUGCCUGCUCCGAGAGGACUGGGUAAUCAUUUGAGUGUGCGUCGUGAUGGGGAUAGAAUAUUGUAAUUAUUACUCUUCAACGAGGAAUUCCUAGUAAGCGCCAGUCAGCAGCUUGCGCUGAUUACGUCCCUGCCCUUUGUACACACCGCCCGUCGCUCCUACCGAUGGGUGAUCCGGUGAAUGAUCCGGACUUCAGCGGCUCCCCUGGGGUGCGCCGGAGAAAGUUUUGUGAACCUUAUCACUUGGAGGAAGGAGAAGUCGUAACA
This 315-nucleotide ribosomal RNA is filed under the name uncultured eukaryote. Its description in RNAcentral is "partial 18S ribosomal RNA". It matches the Rfam family "Eukaryotic small subunit ribosomal RNA", at positions 1470 to 1796 of the family's 1831-position model. The record is from RNAcentral.